GACGAACGCUGGCGGCGUGCUUAACACAUGCAAGUCGAACGGUGAAGCUCCAGCUUGCUGGAGUGGAUCAGUGGCGAACGGGUGAGUAACACGUGAGCAACCUGCCCCUGACUCUGGAAUAAGCGCUGGAAACGGCGUCUAAUACUGGAUACGAGAAGGGUCCGCAUGGGCACUUUCUGGAAAGUUUUUCGGUUGGCGAUGGGCUCGCGGCCUAUCAGCUUGUUGGUGAGGUAAUGGCUCACCAAGGCGACGACGGGUAGCCGGCCUGAGAGGGCGACCGGCCACACUGGGACUGAGACACGGCCCAGACUCCUACGGGAGGCAGCAGUGGGGAAUAUUGCACAAUGGGCGAAAGCCUGAUGCAGCGACGCCGCGUGAGGGAUGACGGCCUUCGGGUUGUAAACCUCUUUCAGCAGGGAAGAAGCGAAAGUGACGGUACCUGCAGAAGAAGCACCGGCUAACUACGUG
This 468-nucleotide ribosomal RNA is filed under the name uncultured bacterium. Its description in RNAcentral is "partial 16S ribosomal RNA". It matches the Rfam family "Bacterial small subunit ribosomal RNA", at positions 28 to 507 of the family's 1533-position model. The record is from RNAcentral.